CGGAAUCUGCCUAUUUGUGGGGGAUAACGUAGGGAAACUUACGCUAAUACCGCAUACGACCUACGGGUGAAAGCGGAGGACCUUCGGGCUUCGCGCAGAUAGAUGAGCCGAUGUCGGAUUAGCUAGUUGGCGGGGUAAAGGCCCACCAAGGCGACGAUCCGUAGCUGGUCUGAGAGGAUGAUCAGCCACACUGGAACUGAGACACGGUCCAGACUCCUACGGGAGGCAGCAGUGGGGAAUAUUGGACAAUGGGCGCAAGCCUGAUCCAGCCAUGCCGCGUGGGUGAAGAAGGCCUUCGGGUUGUAAAGCCCUUUUGUUGGGAAAGAAAAGCAGUCGGUUAAUACCCGAUUGUUCUGACGGUACCCAAAGAAUAAGCACCGGCUAACUUCGUGCCAGCAGCCGCGGUAAUACGAAGGGUGCAAGCGUUACUCGGAAUUACCGGGCGUAAAGCGUGCGUAGGUGGUUUGUUAAGUCUGAUGUGAAAGCCCUGGGCUCAACCUGGGAAUUGCAUUGGAUACUGGCAGGCUAGAGUGCGGUAGAGGGUAGUGGAAUUCCCGGU
This 559-nucleotide ribosomal RNA is filed under the name uncultured bacterium. RNAcentral describes it as "bacterial SSU rRNA". It matches the Rfam family "Bacterial small subunit ribosomal RNA", at positions 119 to 674 of the family's 1533-position model. The record is from RNAcentral.